UUAGAACGACUUGUCCUCAAGUCGAGCCAUUGGUUCACUCGAUCACAACAACUUUUACUCAGCUUUCCUCGGUCGAACGGGACGGAUUGGAAUUGGAACAACUGAAAGGAAUAACCAUGAGUUAGUAAAAAGUGUUUCAGAUAAAUUUGUAAUCCAUAUGCAAGCAGAAUAGAACAAGAAAAUCCCAUGCGAGUGGACAGAUGCAAAGCAACAUGUUGACAAUAAUGCAAACAAAUUAAUUUACUCGCUAAUGCCUCGUCAAUUAUUCGAAACAAAAAUGAACAUGUUCUAAGGCAUUCAAAUGUCUCAAAUUGUUUCCACAAGUCAUAACCAGCAUGUGAAUAACGAGUCAAAUCAACAACACUAUCUUUGUCACCACCUAAAGAGUACAACGAUGUUUCAAAAAGUUCAUGAGGCUUACCUUUAAA
RNAcentral lists this long non-coding RNA (428 nucleotides) under Gossypium raimondii (Peruvian cotton). Its description in RNAcentral is "long non-coding RNA (GRAI_LNC000588)". Lineage: Eukaryota; Viridiplantae; Streptophyta; Magnoliopsida; Malvales; Malvaceae. The record is from RNAcentral.